AGAAUCAACGCUGGCGGCGUGCCUAACACAUGCAAGUCGAACGAGAAAGUGGAGCAAUCCAUGAGUAAAGUGGCGCACGGGUGAGUAACACGUGACUAACCUACCCUUGAGUGGGGGAUAACCUAGGGAAACCUGGGCUAAUACCGCAUAAUACCUUCGGGUCAAAGGAGCAAUUCGCUUAAGGAGGGGGUCGCGGCAGAUUAGUUAGUUGGCGGGGUAAUGGCCCACCAAGACUGUGAUCGGUA
This 245-nucleotide ribosomal RNA is filed under the name uncultured bacterium. RNAcentral's name for it is "partial small subunit ribosomal RNA". It matches the Rfam family "Bacterial small subunit ribosomal RNA", at positions 26 to 285 of the family's 1533-position model. The record is from RNAcentral.